UCAUAACGUGAAGUAUUUGGCGACAUCUAUGGUAACCCUAUCUCUCCUACAAGUGAUAAAACUUGCUUUGAAGAGAAUUCUCUAUCAUAAAGAGACACACAUCGUGAGAAGAAAUCGACAUGUAUUUUUGACAAGACAAAAGAAGAAGACAUUCAAAAAAAUAUGAAUUAAAGGAAUGCGUGGAAGUCUGUUGCUUCCCCUCUACUCGGCGACUGUUCUUCUACUUGUAACAUCUCUCUAUUACAUGACUGGAGCUUGGAAGCGGAUUUUUGACUCCAGAAUCAUCACGGGCACCAAGAUCAGACAACUCAACUCUAUCGCUAACAAUCUCUCGCGUAUCAUUAUGGCCACGGAGACUGAAUCGGCCAUGCUGAAUAAAGACAUUAAUCGCUUCUUGAAAAUUGUACAAAAACAAGUGGAACAUUUAAAGACAAAAACUUAAUGAAAUAAAUGACCACGACAUGUGGACUGGCUGCCAUUCAUAAACAUGAGAGUCAUAGAAUGAAUCAUUGUAAAGACUCAAGAAACAAACACGAACUCUUGUUUGUACAAAAACAAGAGUAAAAUAAUGUGACUAAUAAUCGAGUUGAAUUGGUAAUCAUCUUCUUUCUAAAACACGAAUUUCGUUCUUUUUGUUUAAACAGGUUGUAUCGUUUCUUAAAUCCCAAAAGAAUUUUCAUAGAAUCUUUCCUAUUCACUCUUUUUGAACUUAUUUAUUUAAUAUUUAUCCUGCUUCUCAUGGCUGAAUAUCGACGGAAAAAUUCUUCUUCCUUUAAGAACUGAAUAAAAUAAAGUCCUUUCUUUUACCGAUAAUAGUAAGAGGAAGAGUUUUUCCGUGUGUGUCCCUCUUACAUUUCUUGAACCGCCUGCGCUAGGGUCCCAAAAAUAAAGGCAGCAGGCAAUUUUAGUUGCCCUUCUUAAAAUCGUUCAAACAUUUCAAUCAGCCCUUUUGGAAGAAAUGUCUGAAAAAUGCAUUUUUCUCACUAGUUUAGCAUUAGCCAUUGUUAUAAUGUAGACGAUUAUGUUUUUCCCUUUUUCAAAUAUUUAAAAUAUAAUGCUUGUUUUUGUACAGCUCUUUAUAAUUAAAAGAGGAGUUCAUGGCACGUUCUUUAUCGUUAAUUCGUAAUGUCAGGUACACGCGAGGACAACCAUUUCUAAAGUUAUCUGAACAACGAAUUCCCUAUGUAAAAGCUUCACUCUAUGAAAAAAAAAUAAAAACGCAUUUAUUUUGCUCAUAGAGUGAAGCUUUUGAAGCACAUUUCUUUAAAACUUAGUAAUCUGAAACCAACAAUAAUUGAAAUAAAAUCUACAGUUAUGAAGUGAAAGUCAAUAAGAAUGGAGAAAAGGAAAACCGUAAAAAAUCUAUUAUUGUCACUAAUGAUGCUUCAUAAUAAUUUUGGUAAUAGAUGCCAUUGAAAAUAAAUACCAAAUAAACUAAAAUAGAAAUAGGGUUUUUACAAAAACUUAUUCGGAUUGAAAUUGCAUCGAUUAUGGUAAAUUUUAACAAACCGAGCAGCCAAAUGAUACUGAAUCUAGUGGAUGAGAUAAACUUCAACAAAAAAAGAUCCACUGUGAAAGGCAACAAAUAAUGAUGAGUCAAUUUCCUUGAGUCCUGCUCCAAGAAUUUCUGACACUGCUAUUCGAAAAUAGCCAGUUUAAUAAAUGAUAGAAGAAGAGUUGAUAGCAUAUUUUUGUUAUUAACAUACGAUUUCGCGUUGAAUUAAAACAAACUUUUCAUUUUUAUACAAAAUAUUUUCCACUGAAUUCAUAUAUUGUAACAUUUUCAUCGAGAAAUGAAAGUUUAUAUGAAAUAUACAUUUUGGAAAUUAAGAAUCUAAUAAAGUGGUGCACUUUAAGCAAACAACAUUGAAUGUUCCCUGUAAAUAGAGAAUUGUGAGAGUUUAUUAUUCUUUAAAAUUGUAACUUUUUUAUUGUUUUUCUUUUUUAUGUUAGAAUUAUUUAAAGUAUUGAUAAAGAAUUGUUAUUAAAUAAAGAAUAAUGACGCCACGUAAUAACCAUGAACUGCAAAAAGUUGAUUGUUUACUUUUCAAAGAAUGAAGGAAUUUGGAUCACCCAAAAAAUAAAAAUUUUGUUAUUUA
Molecule: long non-coding RNA, 2099 nt
Organism: Parasteatoda tepidariorum (common house spider)
Lineage: Eukaryota; Metazoa; Arthropoda; Arachnida; Araneae; Theridiidae
Source: RefSeq, a predicted model, not a curated record